RNAcentral lists this small nuclear RNA (161 nucleotides) under Phaseolus vulgaris (common bean). Its description in RNAcentral is "snRNA U1". It matches the Rfam family "U1 spliceosomal RNA". Rfam says of the family: U1 is a small nuclear RNA (snRNA) component of the spliceosome (involved in pre-mRNA splicing). Its 5' end forms complementary base pairs with the 5' splice junction, thus defining the 5' donor site of an intron. Lineage: Eukaryota; Viridiplantae; Streptophyta; Magnoliopsida; Fabales; Fabaceae. The record is from Rfam by way of RNAcentral.
UUACUUACCUGCACGGGGUCAAUAGGUGAUCAGAAAGGCCUAUGGCCUAGAAGAGUGACCUUCAUUGCACACAGAAGGGGUGUUGUUCUAAGGUUUGUCCAAGUGACAAAACCUACGUCAUAAUUUGUGUCAGAGGAGACUUGCGUUAGUGCAACCCCUAC